AUUGAACGCUGGCGGCAUGCUUUACACACGCAAGUCGAACGGUAACAGGUUAAGCUGACGAGUGGCGAACGGGUGAGUAAUGCAUCGGAACGUGCCCGAUCGUGGGGGAUAACGCAGCGAAAGCUGCGCUAAUACCGCAUACGAUCUGAGGAUGAAAGCGGGGGACCGUAAGGCCUCGCGCGAUCGGAGCGGCCGAUGUCAGAUUAGGUAGUUGGUGGGGUAAAGGCCCACCAAGCCGACGAUCUGUAGCUGGUCUGAGAGGACGACCAGCCACACUGGGACUGAGACACGGCCCAGACUCCUACGGGAGGCAGCAGUGGGGAAUUUUGGACAAUGGGCGAAAGCCUGAUCCAGCAAUGCCGCGUGCAGGAAGAAGGCCUUCGGGUUGUAAACUGCUUUUGUACGGAGCGAAAAGGUCCUUUCUAAUACAAGGGGGCUAAUGACGGUACCGUAAGAAUAAGCACCGGCUAACUACGUGCCAGCCGCCGCCGUAA
Molecule: ribosomal RNA, 494 nt
Filed under: uncultured bacterium
Lineage: Bacteria
Description: partial 16S ribosomal RNA
Rfam family: Bacterial small subunit ribosomal RNA
Source: RNAcentral